AUAAAGCCCCUUUUCUUGACCCACAUGAUUGCGUGCAAACUACAUGGUGUCAGAAGUGGUCAGACUGUGGCCGGUGUACGCGGCUGGUAUACGCAGCCUUCGCAAGGAAAGCAGACGGGUAGCAAGCCAACAAGCACGGCUCGAAGGUCCGAACUAGUACUAGAAUGGAGAACGGGGAACAGCGCCAGCAGACCAGCGCCCAGUCACCUCGCUACUGCCACCGUUGAGAGUCCUGGACACUACAGGAGACGUAUGGCAAAGGUGGAAGACGUGGCGGCAGGUGUUCGAGCUCUUCGUAACGGCAACGUACCUAAACCAGCAACCCAAAGAGGGGGUGGUGAAACCAGCACGGCGGAUUCCAAUAGCAUUGCAAAGCAAGGUGCAAGCAGAGCUGGACCCCAUGGAGACAUCGGCAGUGAUGGUGCAAGUGACAGAGCCGACGGAGUGGGCCAGCGACAUGGUAGUCGUCACUAAAGGAGAGAAGGAAUCUGUCCGAUACCUAGGACACGUUCUGACACGUGACGGGCUGAGUUUGAAUCCACAGCGGCUAGAAGACAUCCUGCAAGUCCAGACGCCAAGCAACCAGAAGGAGCUGCAGAUGUUCCUGGCCAUGAAAAAAAUACCUCAGUGUCCUUCCAGUCUGUGCAUUGCACUAUCUUCGGGAUCAGCUCACAUAUGGGGAUUGCUCAACGCCUGCGUCACCUCCGCCGGGUGUUGGGCCUCUAUUGCACUACCUCCGGGAUCGGUCCACGUAUGAACAUUGUGAAUAUCAAGAUGCUGUUGCCAAAUCAAGAUGCUGUUGGCAGCAGCGCUGGACGUGUGCUAUUCCUUAUCAUGAAUGACUCGUAGCAACAAGCUCGCACCCAAACCCUUCUAAGGCUUCUAUAGUGUCACCAAAUGCUUUCAUAUGCUUUUUUUACUUCACCACUUUCUAGAUGCGUUUCCCAGCCCCUUCCUUGUAGCAGCUAGCAGUAUGUAAAAGUCCACUGCCUAGAGUUGCACAACACUGCACUGCCUACAUGAACAGCCAAGGUCAAGCAAUUAACGUUUAUUCGACAGAGUUUAAAUUUUUUUGUCGUUUUCCCAUAGACGGCAUGACAGAGACAGAUUCGCAUUAUUGAAUAGGAAAUGUACAAAGAUGCCUUCAGAAUCUGUGUUUCGUUCGCUUACACCCUCCCAGUAUACCUAUGAAGAAUCGGAUAGUCGGAAUAUUUUGAAUUCACUCUUUGAAUCGUCAAAGCCAACGAAUUCAAUAACGGCCCUACUAACAGCUUGCUGUAACCCUGCGGUGCUGGUAAAAUGCGUGUUCUUUUUUUAUACCACCCACUUCUC
Dermacentor albipictus is the source of this 1332-nucleotide RNA transcript. RefSeq lists it as uncharacterized. The record is from RefSeq and is a predicted model, not a curated record. NCBI's taxonomy places the organism in Eukaryota, Metazoa, Arthropoda, Arachnida, Ixodida, Ixodidae.